ACUCCUACGGGAGGCAGCAGUGGGAAUAUUGGACAAUGGGCGAAAGCCUGAUCCAGCAAUGCCGCGUGUGUGAAGAAGGCCUGAGGGUUGUAAAGCACUUUCAGUUGGGAGGAAAAGUUUAUAGUUAAUAGCUAUGAACCCUGACGUUACCAACAGAAGAAGCACCGGCUAACUCCGUGCCAGCAGCCGCGGUAAUACGGAGGGUGCGAGCGUUAAUCGGAAUUACUGGGCGUAAAGCGCGCGUAGGUGGAUUGAUAAGUUGGAUGUGAAAGCCCUGGGCUUAACCUAGGAACUGCAUUCAAAACUGUCAGUCUAGAGUACAGGAGAGGGAAGUGGAAUUUCCGGUGUAGCGGUGAAAUGCGUAGAUAUCGGAAGGAACAUCAGUGGCGAAGGCGACUUCCUGGACUGAUACUGACACUGAGGCGCGAAAGCGUGGGGAGCAAACAGGAUUAGAUACCCUGGUAGGUCAGUC
RNAcentral lists this ribosomal RNA (472 nucleotides) under uncultured bacterium. Its description in RNAcentral is "bacterial SSU rRNA". It matches the Rfam family "Bacterial small subunit ribosomal RNA", at positions 335 to 800 of the family's 1533-position model. The record is from RNAcentral.